RNAcentral lists this non-coding RNA (6837 nucleotides) under Pongo abelii (Sumatran orangutan). Lineage: Eukaryota; Metazoa; Chordata; Mammalia; Primates; Hominidae. The record is from RNAcentral.
GCUGCCGCCAUGAUUCUGAGGCCUCCCCAGCCAUGUGCAACUGCGUGUUUACUCCUCUGGGCCCAGUGCCUCCCUCGCUCAAUGGAAGUGACAGCAUCCAACUCACAAGACAAGAGACUCUACAGAAUGACCAAGUGGAGAAGACAUCUAAGUUCUCAGCGGUCUCAGCCGAAUGAGUGAAGACAAACCAGGGACAGAGAUGACUCACAUGGGAAGAGGACCCCACUUUGUUCUGUUCAAUUCUAAGAGGACACAGACCGCUUCAUUCAUUUCAGUUUCCCCAGCACCUGGCUUAACUCUCAAACACGUUAGACAGUUCAUAAGCACUGGCUCUAAUGAACUGGCAUCAAAUUAGGACCUGGUUCAGAAGAGACAAGAGGACUGGAUCUGUUCUAAACAGAUCGUGCAAAGGGGAAAGACACAGACUCAGUGUUUCCGCAGCUUUUAACAUUUCAGUGAGAGGUAAGAAAGCAUGUUGGGAACACAAGCCCGGCUGAUGAAAGUGUCUGAUGCUAACACAUGAACUGUCUUCUGCUGCGCAGGCUAAGGGGCCACAAGCAAGCUACGCCCCAGAGGCACUCCGCAUUCUCUCUGGGUGCACUGGCCCUCGGUCAUGCAAGGCCGCACCAGCCUCCGAGGUGAGCCAGAAGGACACACACCUGUGGACUCGAUGUUCCUGACUUGGGCUCGAUGGCCAGCCCCAGGGUGACUCCACCCGCCAGUGCUUUCUUCAGGCUCUCCUUGACCUCUGUCAGCUCCAGCUCCAGGCUGACUCGCUCUGCCUCCUUCUGCCGGCACUCCUCCUCCAGCUGCUUCAGCUUCUCCUCCAGGAUCGCCUGCGGCUUCCUGCCUGGAAUUCCCAGAAACACCGUUACUCCCACGGCAGGCACAGGUUCUCCAAACAACAGAGAAGGCACCUGGUCCCCGAGAAGAACUUCCACAAAACGUCUGAGGUCAAGCUCCCCUGACUUAGGUCCUCGUUGUGAAACUUAAAUUCAGCAGUUCUCUAAGGGACCAGAGUCCUUCUCCUACCAUUUCCCUUUGCUGCAGCUGUGAGGACUCGGAGCAGGAAAGAGGAGAUGCUGAUUCUCACGAAGGCUGGGAGCUCCUGGCUCUGGGCCUCAAUGUACUCAUUUUAAAACGUGGACCCUAAACGCCACAGUUCCCGAAGCUGCCACCUUCUUGGAGUGUGAACCCUGUCCGCCCCUAACGCUCCACCGAUCCUUCAGUCAUCUUAUUUGCGCCCGAGGCGAUGAAGAGUAGCACAGCUUGCAUCUCUACUGGAUGUGGCACACAUUUCUUUAAAGCACGUUCACUUAUUUUAUUUGAGGUUUGCUGCAGUGACCUAAGAUGCACCCACUGGGCAGAUGAGAACACCAAUCCCAAGAGGUGAACGGACUUGUGCCCAGGGUCUGGGCUGGUGGUGGCCGGCAGGCGAGGUUCUCUUUUUCAAAGCCAAAAGCACCCCUGGCCCUCCUGCAUCUUCACUAUCCUGCAAGCUGGGAACACAGGAGAAAUGCUGCUCCUGUCUUGUUAAACUCCAUGCCCCGUCCCAUUCUCUGGCACAGCCUCCUCCCGUAGGGUCAGCCUCAGGCUGCAGGCCACAUCCUGGGCCUCCUAUAGGGUCAGCCUGACCUGCCCUGCCAACACCUGCCUUCCCUCUUCUAAACUCCAAAAGCAUUUCCCUUCAUCAGAUCAUUGAGGCACAAAGUCCAGCAAGGCUGGAGCUGCUAACCACCUGCUGGGUGUGCGUCAGCUCCUCCCCUCAUGGCAAGCCUGGGUGUGCAUCAGCUCCUCCCCGCAUGGUGAGCCAUGGGGAGGCUGCAGCUUCCUCUCUGGACCGCCCAGGCCUCUGAGGCAUCUGAAGCCCCCGUCCCAGCCCAGGCUAGUACAAUCUCAAUCUAAGGAGCCAGUCUUGCGCAGUCUAAGCACCAGGCUGGAAGGGAGGCCAUGCGUAUGUAAGUUGUGCCGCCCCAGGCUCAGGAGCUGAGCACCAGCUCCCGCCAGCAGGAAUGCACACGCCUGGCCCAGGGGUGCCGCUCUGGCUGCAGACUCAGUUUCUGUGACUGCGCCCCUGACUUUCAGUCCCUCUCUGGUGUCUGUAUUCCACUAGCCUGGCCUCUUCCCUGAUGCAUCCCAAGACAGAUGCUGCCUUGCUCUCGCCUUUUUUCCUUCUCAAGAAACGAAGGGCUGCUUCUACCCUUGUCUGGACUUCUGAAUAUUACUGACCCCUGUGGGCUACCCUCUGUAGAGAAAUCCAGCUGAUCCCUCCUACCCAGUGCCCAGAAUCUACUGCGCCCUGCAGAUACAGGGGCCAUCCUCCAGACAAUCUCUGUUGUCAACGCCAGAAGCUGGAACAGGUGCCCCAGCACCUCCCCUGCCUUGGUGAGCAGCGUGUGGGUCCGGCCCUGGCCUCUGCCUGCACGUCACAUGUUUGACCACAUGGGCACCUGCCCUGGAGUUACCAGCAAUGCUUCCAAGCUCCAAGAAACACUGUGAAAUAACCCACUCUUACUACAUAAAAUGACAGCCUCGGUGAGCAAUAGGUCCUUUGGGCAAAGCAGAAUGAAAUCUCCAGUCUCUAAUACAAACAUGCACCCUGGGCAGUCACCCGCACCCUUCAUACCGGCGUUCACUUCAAUGGCCGCUCGAAGGUCUUUUCUUUCCUUGCGGAGCUGGGCCAGCCUAUUCCGCAGGGCCUCUUUCCUCUUCAGCAGCUCCUCUUCUUUGGUCUGUAGCCGCUUGGCAUCUGCUUCUACCCGGUUCUUGCCAUACUUGUACUGGGCAGCAUCUUGAGAAGGAAAAAAAAAGCAGCAAUUAAAAAUUAAGUUUACUAGCCUGGGAAACAUGGGAUGAUCCUUUCUCUAUAAAAAAUACAAAAUUAGCCAGGCAUGGUGGCACAUGCCUGUAGGCCCAGCUACUCAGGAGGCUGAGGUGGGAGAAUCACUUGAGCUUGGGAGUUUGAGGCUACAGUGAGCUGUGAUCCUGCCACUCUGCUCCAGCCUGGAUGACAGUGAGACCCCAUGUCAAAAAAAAAAUUAGGUUUAUUCAAGCAGAUAAUGGGGUAACUCAAAAAGCCUGUUGAAUCAGCCAACUCGGUAAACAAACGCAAAGCCAGUUAUUUCGCUAAUUCAACAAGAAAAAGGACAGGGCUGGUGUGAACCAAGCAGAAAAGUGACUAGUUCAAAUUCUCCAAUAUUCUUUCAAUCAAAUUUUUAAAAACAAACACAGUAUUAGGAAAUUCCUUUAAUUCACUUCCCUUUGAGGCACAUGGCUUAUAAUUAGUCUGCAGCAAGGUGCAGUGUGAACAUUCUAUGAUCGGAAAAGACAGGAGUCUAUUACUAUCAAAAAUAAUGUCCGAAGUUUGCUUCCUUCUCUACGUCUUCAAAUACUUCCAUAACACCGCGGUAUCUGCUCCUUACGGCCACAUCAUCUGACUGGCUCUGAAUUGCUGCUACACCCCCAGCACUGAGAUCAGCACCCGGCACGGAGUGUGGCAUAAUAAAUGCUUGUUUAGUGAAUGAAUGAACAACGGAUACAUGAAGAGGAACCAGGAGCGGUACCUGGAGCCUGACUGUCUAGGAAAGAGUCCCAGCUUACACUUCUAGCUGCAUGACCUGGAACAGGGCACGAAUCCCUCUGUGCCUCAGUUUCCCUCAUCUGUGAAACGGGGAUAGUAAGAGCAGGUAAUUCAAAUGAGUGGUUAUGAGGAUUAAAUAUUUAUAAAGCACUUAGAACAAACACAAAUGGGCAAUACAUAAAUGCUUAUUUCAUAAAAUGAAUAAAUGAAGAGGAAACUAGCUGUAGGGAAAAUUUACAGACUUGGCAACAUCACAUCACCAGUGAAAACAGCUUUCAAAACCUGACCCCACACUCUCCUCCUCUUAUUAUGUUGGCUUUUCAAUAACAGUAAGUUAGGACACCACCUCCUUGUUAAGACACAUGGAAGAGAUGAAGGUUCUAACAAAACUCGGAUGGAGGAUCACCGAUUUCAAAGCUUCCGUGAUCUCCCAGCUGCUUCUAACAAUCACUCACGCCUGAUGGCAACUCCCAGGCCUUCCUGACUGCACGCCCCACAUGUCUGACUCCCUAGUGAGGCUAGAAACUACUUCAGGUAGAAGCCACAGGGGUGGCAUCAUGAUUCAGAAUAAAAACACUGGACUCAGAGAGGUGGCUAGAAACCCACACUCCACCCUCCCUUGCUACAUGACUCUGCAAGCACCCUCCGGAGAAGCUCAGCUUCACCCUCUCUAAAGCGGAAACGAGAAGGAAUCCUGUGUGUGUGCACGUGUGUGCGUGCGUGUGUGCAUGUGCGUGUUUUAAAUGAGAUAUGUGUGUGUGUGUUUUAAAUUAGAACGUUAUAUCUGAAAAAAAUCUAACAAAAUGAUACGACGCCUGAUGUAGUGGACAUUCACUGACAAUUCUUAGCAUAUCAGCGACAAGCAAUUCCCAGAGCCUUGUCCACUCAGGGAUAGCAGGGAGCCAUUUCUAGCACCUGUCCUAAAUGCUGGAUUUGCCAAUUCUUGCAAUGUAAGCCAUCAUGAUUUCAAUGAAAUACUGCAUUUAUGAAGGCAUAAAAAGUGAUCACUCCCCAGUCAAUUUUCCCCUAAUCAAAAGAAACACAGAGAAUGACAGCAAAAGGGUCGGCAGCCUGAGGAGAGGCGAAGCAUUCGACAAUCUGAAACAAAAGGAUCGCUGUUUGCAGCUAAGGUAACAACGUAUUUUGCAAACAGGGCCAAGUCCAAACUCUACUCACUUAUUUCUAAAUUAAGCUGUUUCCCCAAUGAACUCAAUGCAAUAACCUAUAAAUUUCCACAUCUUUUGGUCCCCAUGUAAUAAAUCCCAUCUAAUCUAUAAUGCAACUGGCUGGAUUCAGCAAAAACACGGAAUGCCAUUACUUUUCUCUUUUGUCACCAUUAGAUGUCACCACAGUUAAUAAAAACUCCCUACAGAAGAUCUCAUAAAAUAAAGGAAUAAAUCAUCUAGGAAAUAAAGUCAGCACAGGUACUGACAGAGAAACACUACAGCGACUGAGACUCCGCGGGGUUUGCAUUUUGCUUGUAACAAAGCUUUCCAGGUGCGAGCUGCUCCUCUCCCCGACCUGCCCCUCCCGAAAGAAACAACACUAAAAGAGGUGAAAGUAAAUACACCCGAUACAUUCAGGAAAUAAGAUUUGCCAGAUAAGGUCAAAGGAAGUUAGUACAUUAAACAAAUGGUGGUAGGAGGGAGGAUUUGGCCCAACUGGCUCCAACCUAUCUGUUCAACAUGUUGGGUAGAACAGAGGUGGAGAAAAGCUUAGAUCAGGGAUGUACACACUUCCUUGGGGUAGACACAGCCUGGUCCUGCGGAGCGAUUUCAAGCCUCGUUCACGAACAUGGCCGAGGACACUGCCAGCCUCUCCAUUCCCCUACGUGGAUGCUCCGACUCCAAAAACGGAACCACAGGGCAAAUGGAUGUUGGCACGUGUCGGUAUGGGAGGCUCUCUCUUCGACAGCUGGCGUGGGGGUUACCAACUGGGACUAGCCGGCCUCAUCUUCAUUAGCACAGAGACUGGCUACCAGUUGCACAGAUUCAGAUUUGAAAAUCUCAGGUACAAAUCCCAAGUGGCGAUGGCAUGUAACCACAUCAAACUCAAUAUCUGCACCUAACUCCCACCUUCUUCCUCUGGGAAAUCUUCCUGGACAUGCCCGGAUGGACUCAGGAGCCCCUCACCUGUCAAUCCCCACACUGCGGCCCUGCAUGUGUGGGUCCGUUGGACCACUUUGGUGUAUCUUUGAGUCCCCGGAGUGAAAAAAUGCUGCCUGGCUGGCUCCCUGAUUAGACAUCCAACAUAAUGAGGGCUAAUGCAAAUACAAACACUUAAGAGAUGACAUAUCGCCCUAGAUGGAUCUACCGGAGGGAAGGGAAGAGGGUGCUGAGUCCAGGCAGGCUGAGUCUCUCAUGUCUUCAUGCUUCUCUGCCCAAUCUAUUGCCGGCUGUAUGUGGAGUUUGAAAGCCUGGAACCCACUCUGGCUCUGUGAUUUACCAGCUGUGAGCCUUGGGGGAGCUGCUUACUCUCUUGGUGAUUCUUUUCUCAUUUCUAUGAUGGGGUAGAGGAUAAUGCCUACGCUUACAAAGUGGCUGUGGGAAGUAAACGGGAUGGGAUAAGAAUGGCUUGCUGUAGACCACAGGCACCGCAGGAUAACCAUUCCUCAGAACUCCUCAUACUGCUCUAGUGCUUGGAGGUCUGUGUAUUACCUCAGUUAUUGCAACUGCACCAACCACAGGAGCCAUGUGUCUACGUCUGACAGAUAAAGAUGCUGAGUUUAGAGUUUGCAAGGCUUGACAACCACAGAUCAGGGACAGGAGCUGAGGUCUCCUGACCUGGAGCCCAGGGCCACCCAGAGCUGCAAGCAACCUGUACUCACAACUGCCUCCUAUUUUAAAAUGCUGAGUCGAUCCCACAGGCAGCACACCAGUUCUGGGCUUCAAUUUACAAGCACAGUCAGAAAAGCUGGGUUGAAAUCGCCACUGUCCUUCCAUGUGGCCAAUGAGGAAGGAUGACGGUGCCCACCACUCCAUCUCUCCAGCUGACCCCAAGCUGGCAGUCACGGGUGGGCAGGCUCAGACAGGCCCAGCUCCACCAAGUGCACUUGAAGCCAGAAUGCAAGACAUCCGAUGGUAUACUUACUCGAACCCGUCCUUUUCACACCAGCCGCGGGAUCUGCUUUUUUUGGCUGACUGCUCAGAGUCUUCCCUUUUCCUGUGACCCCAUUAGACGCCAUAGGGGGCUUUUUACCCUUGAGCUGUUGAAAUAAACAUAUAAGAACAUUAAAAAUAAACACAGAGUGGAACAAA